GAGCACUGCCCACAGCUGCCCUUGCCCCUGCCUUUCCACGUUGCACAAGCCCAGCGCACGGUACCCACUGGAUAUGCCCGAGGCCUCCAGAGGAAAGGAAAGGAGGAAAAGGGACAGAAGAAAUGUUCACAGGAACUGCAUAUGGGCCUGCUACUUGUGUCAAAAUGUGACUGAACUCUCUUCCAGCAGGCUGGAGUGCAGUGGUGCGAUCUCAGCUCAUUGCAACCUAUGCCUCCCGGGUUCAAACGAUGCGUAGUAUGGCAGCAAUUAAGAUGGAAGUAAUGAGGAAAAGGAAUACUUAUCAAUGGAGAUUAGAGAGAGCCAAGGUGUGGGGAAAAGAGUGACUUCACCUUAAAUGUUAACCUGCCAUGUAACUUCUGACUAAUCCCAGGUCCAGAAAUGCCUCCAAAUGUCUCGUUGCUGUAUUACUCUUUAUGUGGAAACACCUGUUCACUGCUAUUUCACUGAACUGAAGCAGUCAAAAGAGAAUGCUCAUGAGAUCCCAUCACCACCACUUUACCGAACUACUUCCAUAUUGUGAAUCCCUGGAAGGCAAGAUCGCCAUUCUGGUCUCUUGUGGAUAUCAAUGCUGAUCUCAGCUUCUGAUGCACGGCAGUCAAUUAAUAAAUGAUUGUUGCCUGAAAAACUGAGCCCCAAAACAAUAUUACAAGUUUAAUAUCAGUAAAGGAUUUAAUGCUUUCUAACAUGAAGAUACCAGAUCUUUUCUAUUCCUGGACUUUUAGAGUUGCUGAUUUUUGUAUAACCCAGAGAUGGAUUUAAAUGCAGAGUGUAUGAACUUCUUCAUUCCUGAGGGAGGACUUAUGAUUUCAUGAGAAAUGCCCUAGGAAAGGGGCCGGGGAGACUGAUGGAGAAGAAGAGUUUGGGAGGGAAGCCCCAAGGACCAUCUGCCCCAUCAGAGUCACAUGCAGAGGGUCCUGCUCCUGCCGUUGGAAGUUGGCUUCCUGAGCUGCUGAACGUGCCAGUCCUGCUGACCCACUCUCAGAUAUCACAGGCACCCGCUGUGUCUGACAGAGACCUUUCUGCAAGUACACGUGCAGGUCUGCUCUGCAAAGGCGUUAUCAUCUGCAGAUUAUUGCACAGAGUGGCUACGAGCUGUGGUGUGAUCCUGUCACAGAGAGAGCCUGGUCACGUUUUCAGAACAGCAGGAAACAGGUACACCUGUAAGCUUAUACUUAUCAGAUUUAAAAAUAAAACAAAAAAUCCAUGCUAUUCCAUGAAAAUCGGACUCAAAUAAACUUAGUCACUGAUCUGUGAAGUAAAUAAUCUGAUGGUAAUGCAUCAGUUGACACUUGGGCCUGGGUUUUUAGGCACUAAUGAAAGCCAGGGGCAAAAUAAUUUUUAAUCUACCAUUAUUUCC
Molecule: long non-coding RNA, 1378 nt
Filed under: Homo sapiens (human)
Lineage: Eukaryota; Metazoa; Chordata; Mammalia; Primates; Hominidae
Description: HSALNT0336717
Source: RNAcentral